This is a non-coding RNA of Punica granatum (pomegranate), 341 nucleotides long. NCBI's taxonomy places the organism in Eukaryota, Viridiplantae, Streptophyta, Magnoliopsida, Myrtales, Lythraceae. The record is from RefSeq and is a predicted model, not a curated record.
CACAUACAAAAUUCUAUUAGGCAAUUCAUGACAAGCCUUACUCCCUAAAUGGAAGAUGGACAGAGAAGUUCGUCAACCCAAAAGGUCCUCACAGUUCAAGAUAGUCCUGCAUAACAUCAUUCAAAGCGGAAAACUCGAAAUAUGGCACACACCUAUUCAAGUCCGACGCCGUACUCCUCAACGUUCCGACCAGUGACACUUGGCAUCAUAUGGCUGGAAAAGGGGUGGCCAGAUUUUCUUAAGUAACUUACUCCUCAAGGUUCCAAGCCGGAUUUUCUUAAAUAACUUACUCCUCAAGGAUUUUCUUAAAUAACACCGUACUCCUCGAGGUUUUAAUCGUA